This 214-nucleotide long non-coding RNA is filed under the name Prunus persica (peach). RNAcentral's name for it is "long non-coding RNA (PPER_LNC006604)". Lineage: Eukaryota; Viridiplantae; Streptophyta; Magnoliopsida; Rosales; Rosaceae. The record is from RNAcentral.
AAAAAUUAAAAUUAAAAACAAAAUAAGAUAAUAGGUCCUACUUUUAUGGAACAUAACUACCCUGUUAUCUUUUAUUAAUUCUAAAAAUAAAAUAAAAAAGAAAAAGAAAACCAAUUGGCACAUGCGUGAGUAUGUAUCAAGAGACUAGUAAUUUAUAUGGGAAAACCAAGUUUAUUAUGAAAAAUUGUUUCAUACAUCAUCUUCUUGGUUCCCG